This 424-nucleotide ribosomal RNA is filed under the name uncultured prokaryote. RNAcentral describes it as "bacterial SSU rRNA". It matches the Rfam family "Bacterial small subunit ribosomal RNA", at positions 355 to 796 of the family's 1533-position model. The record is from RNAcentral.
UGGGGAAUCUUGGACAAUGGGGGCAACCCUGAUCCAGCCAUGCCGCGUGGGUGAAGAAGGCCUUAGGGUUGUAAAGCCCUUUCAGUCGUGACGAUGAUGACGGUAGCGACAGAAGAAGCCCCGGCUAACUCCGUGCCAGCGGCCGCGGUAAUACGGAGGGGGCAAGCGUUGUUCGGAUUUACUGGGCGUAAAGGGCGCGCAGGCGGUCUGUUGCGUUAGGCGUGAAAGCCCUGGGCUCAACCCGGGAACUGCGCUUGAUACGGGCAGGCUUGAAGCCGGCAGAGGGUGGUGGAAUUCCCAGUGUAGAGGUGAAAUUCGUAGAUAUUGGGAAGAACACCGAAGGCGAAGGCAGCCAUCUGGGCCGGUCUUGACGCUGAGGCGCGAAAGCGUGGGGAGCGAACAGGAUUAGAUACCCGCGUAGUCC